Molecule: long non-coding RNA, 725 nt
Filed under: Rattus norvegicus (Norway rat)
Lineage: Eukaryota; Metazoa; Chordata; Mammalia; Rodentia; Muridae
Description: long non-coding RNA NONRATT024752
Source: RNAcentral
AUCGAUACAGCGAGACUUCACUACCGGAACUCCUGGGCCCCAAUUCUCCAUGCAGUGGCACUUUGGUUAAACAGCACAGGAUUUACAUGUCAGGAGUCCACAGAAGCCACAGCUGUAUCUGGAGGACAGAAGCGCUCCCCGGCUGUCAGUUUAAACCAGGUUCCAGGAGCCAUGGCUAGUGCUAAACCCCUGCCAGAAGUUAACAAAGACAGAAUGCACCUGAUCCUAGGUAGGUGCCUGUGAUACAUUUCAGGUUGGCCACUGCAGAAUGCCUGUAGCUCUCAUUGUAAUGCUGUAUAAAGCCUUCUGUAGCACAAUUCAAAGAAAGAAUUAUAAAAGGACUUUUCAGCUCCACUUAUAAAAUAAAUGAAUUUUUGUCUAAAAAUCAUCCAAAACUAUUCUAAAAGAUUAGCCAUUGGGGCUGGGGAUUUAGCUCAGUGGUAGAGCGCUUACCUAGGAAGCGCAAGGCCCUGGGUUCGGUCCCCAGCUCCGAAAAAAAGAACAAAAAAAAAAAAAGAUUAGCCAUAGUGUUCAUUCACAGAACAGUAUUGAAUUUCAAGGAAAAAAAAAUCUAGGGUUUUUUAUUCAACACUUUCUUUGUAUUGUCAUUUAACAGAUUAUCCAAUGAAGAAAAAUGUUUAUGAUCUAGUUUUAAAUAAUUUUAAUCUAUAAGUGUUCUUAUUUAAGUAUUUACAUAUUCUGAAGGAAAUUUGUGAUCUUGUGUU